UACGAGGGGGGCAAGCGUUGUUCGGAAUUAUUGGGCGUAAAGGGCGCGUAGGCGGUGCGGUAAGUCUGUUGUGAAAUCUCCGGGCUCAACUCGGAGUCUGCAUCAGAAACUGCCGUGCUUGAGUGUGGGAGAGGUGAGUGGAACUCCGAGUGUAGAGGUGAAAUUCGUAGAUAUUCGGAAGAACACCAGUGGCGAAGGCGGCUCACUGGCCCGGUACUGACGCUGAGGUGCGAAAGCGUGGGGAGCAAACAGG
Molecule: ribosomal RNA, 253 nt
Filed under: uncultured bacterium
Lineage: Bacteria
Description: partial 16S ribosomal RNA
Rfam family: Bacterial small subunit ribosomal RNA
Source: RNAcentral